This 253-nucleotide ribosomal RNA is filed under the name uncultured bacterium. RNAcentral's name for it is "partial 16S ribosomal RNA". It matches the Rfam family "Bacterial small subunit ribosomal RNA", at positions 524 to 776 of the family's 1533-position model. The record is from RNAcentral.
UACGGGGGGGGCAAGCGUUGUUCGGAAUUACUGGGCGUAAAGGGCUUGUAGGUGGCCAACUAAGUCAGACGUGAAAUCCCUCGGCUUAACCGGGGAACUGCGUCUGAUACUGGAUGGCUCGAGUGUGGGAGAGGGAUGCGGAAUUCCAGGUGUAGCGGUGAAAUGCGUAGAUAUCGGGAAGAACACCUAUGGCGAAGGCAGCUCUCUGGGACGGUACUGACGCUGAGACGCGAAAGCGUGGGGAGCGAACAGG